UACAGAGGUCUCAAGCGUUGUUCGGAUUCAUUGGGCGUAAAGGGCGCGUAGGCGGCCUGCUAAGUCGGACGUGAAAUCCCUCGGCUCAACCGGGGAACUGCGUCCGAUACUGGCGAGGCUUGAAUCCGGGAGAGGGAUGUGGAAUUCCAGGUGUAGCGGUGAAAUGCGUAGAUAUCUGGAGGAACACCAGUGGCAGAAGGCGGCAUCCUGGACCGGCAUUGACGCUGAGGCGCGAAAAGCUAGGGUAGCAAACGGG
RNAcentral lists this ribosomal RNA (256 nucleotides) under uncultured bacterium. Its description in RNAcentral is "partial 16S ribosomal RNA". It matches the Rfam family "Bacterial small subunit ribosomal RNA", at positions 524 to 776 of the family's 1533-position model. The record is from RNAcentral.